AUCGGCGUAAAGUAACCGGAGGAAGGUGGGGAUGACGUCAAUCAUCAUGCCCCUUAUGACCUGGGCUACACACGUGCUACAAUGGUUGGUACAACGAGUUGCGAGUCGGUGACGGCGAGCUAAUCUCUUAAAGCCAAUCUCAGUUCGGAUUGUAGGCUGCAACUCGCCUACAUGAAGUCGGAAUCGCUAGUAAUCGCGGAUCAGCACGCCGCGGUGAAUACGUUCCCGGGCCUU
RNAcentral lists this ribosomal RNA (234 nucleotides) under uncultured Streptococcus sp. Its description in RNAcentral is "partial 16S ribosomal RNA". It matches the Rfam family "Bacterial small subunit ribosomal RNA", at positions 1151 to 1382 of the family's 1533-position model. Lineage: Bacteria; Bacillati; Bacillota; Bacilli; Lactobacillales; Streptococcaceae. The record is from RNAcentral.